RNAcentral lists this unclassified non-coding RNA (417 nucleotides) under Hevea brasiliensis (rubber tree). The record is from RNAcentral. Lineage: Eukaryota; Viridiplantae; Streptophyta; Magnoliopsida; Malpighiales; Euphorbiaceae.
CUAAAACGUAUCCUUUGGCUAGCAUUGUCCUGACAACUUCCUGAGCCACAGUCACUACUUCUCCAGGGGAAGAAGUAUACUGGUUCAUAUGAAUUCCCGUUGAGCCAGCAUUUUCGACCUUCCAUGAAUUCCAAGGAUCAGAUUCAUCCAUGUAAGUCCCCCAGUGAGUAAUGCAUAUGCGUUGAUCCAUAAUUGUAGCUCCACUGAGCAGGAUGGCAGUUUCAAGAGCAUAGGCACCUCUAAAUGUUACAUAUGCAGUGGAACCAUACUCACUAGACCUGAUGAUUUCAACAUGCUCAAUUGGACCACAGUGAGCGAAAAAAUCAUACACAUCCUCUACAGUUGCUUUGGGAGAUAAGCAUGUAACUUCAGCUGUAUAACCACUAGGAUACAUCCCGUUAAAUGCGGUUCAAUCUG